CCUAUGGGUGGCAGCAGUGAGGAAUAUUGGUCAAUGGUCGGGAGACUGAACCAGCCAAGCCGCGUGCGGGAUGAAGGUACAGAGUAUCGUAAACCUCUUUUGUCAGGGAACACAGGCGGGGACGUGUCCCCCGAUGCGUGUACCUGAAGAAAAAGCAUCGGCUAACUCCGUGCCAGCAGCCGCGGUAAUACGGAGGCUGCGGGCGUUAUCCGGAAUUAUUGGGCGUAAGGAGUACGUAGGUGGCAAGCUAAGCGCAGGGUUUAAGGCAAUGGCUCAACCCUUGUUCGCCCUGCGAACUGGGAUGAUUGAGUGCAGGAGAGGAAAGCGGAAUUCCUAGUGUAGCGGUGAAAUGCGUAGAUAUUAGGAGGAACACCAGUGGCGAAGGCGGCUUUCUGGAGUGGAACUGACACUGAGGUACGAAAGCGUGGGGAGCAAACAGGAUUAGAUACCCCAGUAGUC
RNAcentral lists this ribosomal RNA (459 nucleotides) under uncultured bacterium. RNAcentral describes it as "partial 16S ribosomal RNA". It matches the Rfam family "Bacterial small subunit ribosomal RNA", at positions 338 to 795 of the family's 1533-position model. The record is from RNAcentral.